This is a long non-coding RNA of Paralichthys olivaceus (Japanese flounder), 1925 nucleotides long. RefSeq lists it as uncharacterized. The record is from RefSeq and is a predicted model, not a curated record. Lineage: Eukaryota; Metazoa; Chordata; Actinopteri; Pleuronectiformes; Paralichthyidae.
UGCAGGUGUGUGAGAGGUGAAGCUUUGGGCCUGGUAUUGGUGCCAGCCCAGCUUCCCAGCUCCAUGGACGCUCCACCCUUGUUGCCUCUCAUACUGAAGACACACCUGGAGACUAUUGUCUCAUUCAGAGCUGAUAUGAGCAGGGGGCGCUCAGUGGCUCACUCUUGAUGCACUUUAUCCAGGUUGGCAGGAACAGGUUAGUCUCCUGAAAGACACUUUAAGUAACCUGUCACCUGGAGCCUGGAUCAUCUGUUUGAAGGAGACUUUUGUGCUGGACUUCCCCACAGGGAAGAUUUGGAAUUCCACUGAGGUGAGUGUCUGGUGUUGAACUGUCUGAGGAGGGAGCAUCAAGUGUGGCACAUCCUCAAGUGUCUUUAAGAUCAAGGGAUAAACUCAGACUGAAGCUCCUGGCCCUGGAAAACACUGGAUAACAGUAUUGUUCUCACUGGAAACUCACCGUCAGGAAUCAAAGAAGGCGGACAGCUCCCAAGAAGCCAUGCGGCAUGCUGUGCAACAGCCAGCAGAGCUCUCACCCUCACCAAGGCACUGCAGCAGCCCCAUCAGCACAAGGCCUGGGUUUUGCUCUUCAGACAUCUUGUGCGUCUCUGCAUUCCAUAUGGAUGGUGGGAAAACUGCAGUGUCUGCAAACCUGGAUGUAUUUCCUGUGGCUGCUGUUUCCUUUAUUAUGGCACAAACUGCCGUAAUCCGAGAGUAAGACUGAGGAUUGCAUCGUACCAUUAUCUUUAUGUGCCCAUGUACACUCUGCUGGACCCUGGGUGUAUAACCUUCUACACGUGUCCUUUGAAAUUGAGUGUCCCCAUUGUCAAAGAAAACAACUGUCCUGACAAAUAUUGAUGCAUGAGCUGGGAAGUCCACAUCGUGAACCUGAACAAUUACACCACCCUGAGACUCAGUGAAUGCUGUUUCCUUGGAUGUGGCCCACCCUACAGUGUCACUGAGAAGAAAAUGACAAAGCACCAUGUCACAGAGGAAUGCCAGGCAUGUUGUAGCCAGUCACCCAGGUCACACUCCUGACCGCAGGCCAGUUUUAUGGUUUUGCUGACAGCUGCUUUUGAUAGUGUAAUUGUGACAAUGAUCUCACUCUCCCUCUCUCUCUCGCUCUUCCUCUGUCUCGAGGAGCUCUGCGCUCAGCCUUCCUCCCAGCGGGGGAGGUGGGAGAGCACAUUUCAUUAGCUUUCAAUUCAUAGUGAAUUUAUUAAUCCCAUGCUGGUUCUGCAGGGUGGAAGGCUGCCUAAGAAGGGGGGAAAUAUCUUCGAUAUAGACACCUUUUUCCUCCAUCUGCUUACAAUGUGUGUGCAAAAGUGUAUGAAAGAGGGAUGGGAAGAGGGAGGUGGAGGGGAUGGGUGUGGGGGGCAAAGGAACCAAGAAGGCGGGAAGGGGAGAGGGGAGAAUAACAACGACGGGCUAACAACAAGGGCUUGUGAAAAGACUGCAGCAGGAAAAAGUGUGUCAGAUCAUUUACCAGCGGGGAUGCGCGACUUCGUCUUUUUAAAGGCAGCAGCCCUGCAGAAAGGCUCUUGUCUAGUCAGCACUGCAACAAAGGCACAGCCAUGGCUCUAUUUGAGCGCCUGGAAUGUUCCUGUGUGCACGGGGCCAGCACCGAAUAGUGAACCCUCGGCUCCAUCAAGGGAGAGAGCGCAGAGUUCACCUCGGCCAGACCUCGGGCCCCAGAUAGAGAAGCAAAGCUGUGUUGCAACAACGGGGCUGACAAGCACUUCACACUAUUUAACGACAGAAGUGAUUCAACAAAGAGCAGCUCUCUGCCUAACUGCCUCUGAAUAACACUGUUUGACAUUGUUCUGAAGAGACUGAGACAGAGAGCGUUGUAGCGCACUGGCCCUGUACCAAAGCAGGUUGUAUAGAGUUGAAUGUGAGCUGGUGUCAGAUUAAAAAAAAAAAGUUUA